This 3439-nucleotide long non-coding RNA is filed under the name Homo sapiens (human). RNAcentral's name for it is "non-protein coding PART1:16". The stretch from base 1 to 150 matches the Rfam family "Prostate androgen-regulated transcript 1 conserved region 2", at positions 101 to 249 of the family's 249-position model. Lineage: Eukaryota; Metazoa; Chordata; Mammalia; Primates; Hominidae. The record is from RNAcentral.
GCACUGGAACAACACAGAUGAGAUAUUCUACACAUUAAUCUACUUAUCUGGAAUCACUUUGCCUCUAAAGGCCAGAGAAAAAUCACAGCUUCCUUGUCGGAGGGGAAAAGGACAGGUGAUCUGGGGAAAACGCAGCUACACCUGGAGCAAGGUCUCUUCCCGGCUUGGCAAUCUCAGCUGUGCCGGCGCUACGGGACCCGAGCCGUCCCAGAAACCAAAGGGCAGGCACGGCAGCAAACGCCUGAGGUAUGCUGCCUUCGGUGACUAUAUGAGAAUGGAAACUUCUAAGGAAGCCAGGUUGUUAGAAUUGUUACCCCCUUUACUCAGAGAUAACAUAGAUUAUCCAGGCUGAGAUGGAAAACAAGCCCUUUAUUGAAUUUUCAACACAGACUCCCUGCUUCUCAUCUCCUUAAUAAAAUUUCAUUAAAAUCCCCUUGAACUCCCAUGUUCAAAUCUCCAUUUGUUGACAGACAAAGCCAACAAUACUCUAAACUGAGGCCUGCAAGUCAUUUCAUUUGUAUUUUUGUCCAGAAAUUUCCCAUAGGAAGACUUCACCUCCUACAACUCCGAAGAAAACCCUUACUGUCCAAGACCGUCACCAGCAACCAUCCGCAGUCAUUCAAGUGGAAGCUUUCACAGCUUUUGUACAUUCUCUGUGUCAAUAUACAACUGAGUUACAGACUGUCCCCUGGCUCCCUGACCCUUACAAACACUAAAAGUUUUGUUUGACUCAACUUCAAGCUGCUCAUCUGUUAGUAAGUGAUGUUCACUCCAGAACACAUUCAUGAUGAGAACUUUCUAAAAGACCAGCACUGCUCUUCCCCUCCUAUAAUCAUAAUAAUCAUGAUAACCUGAAACAUGUUACUGGGACUCGACAUUUUUCUGGGGAUUGAAAUCUUUAGUCCUUGGAGCUGUCACAUAGCAGGGGCAACCUCACACUGAAACAAAGGAAGUGAUGUCCCAUUAUUAUCCACCCUGAGCCACCAUAAUAUGCUGUUUACAUUUAUUUUCUUCAGCCUGUGCAAAACAAAGCAAUGGAAAAGGAAACUAAAAAAUAUACAUACUAGUACCAUUAUCUUCUUUUGCCUAAAAUUACUAAUGCACCACGUCAGUCUGCUUCCUUCAGGCAUCAUUCUCAAUUCAUCAGGACUUGUAUUAGCAGGUUCUGGCUAGAGAGACUAUCUCCUGUCAUCACGAUCAAUUAAUGUUUUCUGGUGAUCACAUCAGGCCCUAUCUAAGAAGCUCAUGGUAUACAAGGGUCACCCAAAUAGCUGAGUGCAGUCCUUGCUCAUAUUUCCUUCAUCUUAACCCCGCAAACAAGAAUUAAGAUGAUCCCAAUAAAAGAAAAAUUGCUCAGGAAACUGAACCUUUUUCUGAACCAAGCACUGUCAGCAAAUCUCAGGUAUUAGAGCAACUAUGGUUGAUUGAAAAGUGUCUCAAAAUCUGGGCCAAGAAUGAUUGCUAGGUCCAUAAGCUAAUUUGUCUGGCCUUGCCAUUUACGUAAGCCAAAGAAAGUCACUCAUGAGUAAACUAUAGAAAACGUUCAGACCCAUCCUGUUAGUAUGUCAAAUCAACUAAGACUGGCAGGGUAUUAACUCCAUUCCAGGUGACAUGGAUAAAGAGCCCCAUUAUUUUCACAGUGCCAGCCUCUACCUAAGGAAACCCUAGACCUUGGAACCAGUUUCCUGGUAGGGAACUGCUGACAGUUUCAAUGCUGACAGUUGGAGCCAAUGCCUCAUAGUGUAAACUGAAAGAAAAAUAGUUGCUUUUUAAAAUGUCAGCAAGAAGGCCUGCCUCAUCUUAACAAAGCAAAAAAAAAUGCUUUAAUUCAAAUUAAAAAUCAUGAUACUAGAGAUGGGAGUCUGUGGUCACUAUAAAGAUAAAGUUCAUGUUCUUGGUUCAGAUAACAAAACACUUUAUCUGGAUAAAUGGACCUCAAAAUUUGCUCUUGGCACAUGGGGGAAAUUUUUUGUUGUAUUUUGUUGUUGUUGUUGUUCUUGUUGUUAUUGUUUAAAUUAAUCUUCCUAAGGCCAUGAAUAUGAAAUCAUAUUAAUAAUGCAUGUGACAAAAUUCUAAAAUAUAUUACACUUAAAAUUAGCAUAAACCAUCAACUUUUAGUACUCAUAUAUUGCAGUCAAAACUCUUCUAGGUAAUGAGACCUGAACAGAAGGAUCCAUUUAUCUGUGGUCUUGCUCUUUGUCUAAGUUUCUCGAAAGCAUUAGGACAAUGACAUAUACAAAAACUGGCAAUUACAUUUAAUAAGAAAAAUGUGGGGAGUGCAUUCUUAAUAUUUGAUGCUAAAACCAUAUCUUUGCUUUAAACAUGUAAAGCAGUAUAACAUGGUGGUUGGUAGAAACUCUGGAGUCAGGCCACCUGGGUUCACAUCCCAGCUCUGACUCUUAAUUGUUAGACCCUGAGCAAGCUACUUAACAGCAUUAUGCCUCAGUUUCCUCCUAUAUAAAAGGGUGCCACACACAGUAACUACCUCCUAGGCUGGUGUGAAGAUUAAAUGGGCAAAUACAUGCUUAGAACUGAGCCUAUUAUAUGGUGACUGCUCAUUAAAAGAAAAUUGUCGGGAGGGAUAGCAUUGGGAGAUAUACCUAAUGCUAGAUGACGCGUUAGUGGGUGCAGCGCACCAGCAUGGCACAUGUAUACAUAUGUAACUAACCUGCACAAUGUGCACAUGUACCCUAAAACUUAAAGUAUAAUUAAAAAAAAAAAAAAAAGAAAAUUGUCAGCUAGAAAUGGUGGCUCGCCCCUUUAGUAAUCCCAGCCCUUUAGAAGGCCAAGGAUCACUUGAAUCCAGGAGUUUGAGACCACCCUGAGCAACACAGCAAGACCCCAUCUCUGCAAAAAAGAGAAACAAAUAAAUAAAUAGCUGGGCAUGGUAGCACACACCUGUAGUCCCAGCUACUUGGGAGGCCAAGGUGGGAGGAUCACUUAAGUCCAGGAGUUGGAGGCUGCAGUGAGCUAUGGUUGUGCUAUUGCACUCCAGCCUCAGUGACAGAGUGAGAUCCUGUCUCAAAGAAAAAAUUGAAAAAACAUAAAUAAAUAGAAAUAAAAUUGUUUUUAUUAGGAUUAAGCUCACUGCAAUAAAUAUACACAAUAUUGAAAAUGAAGGUGAAUUCCAUGGAAUACUAUGCAGCCAUAAAAAAGGAUGAGAUCAUGUCCUUUGCAGGGAGAUGGAUGAAGCUGGAAACCAUCAUUCUCAGCAAACUAUCACAAGGACAGAAAACCAAACACCGCAUGUUCUCACUCAUAGGUGGGAACUGAACAAUGAGAACACUUGGACACAGGGCAGGGAACAUCACACACGAGGGCCUGUCAGUGGGUAGGGGGCUGAGGGAGGGAUAGCAUUAGGAGAAAUACCUAAUAUAAAUGACGAGUUGAUGGGUGCAGCAAACCAACAUGGCACAUGUAUGCCUAUGUAACAAAUCUG